RNAcentral lists this long non-coding RNA (1650 nucleotides) under Homo sapiens (human). RNAcentral describes it as "long non-coding RNA NONHSAT148076.2". Lineage: Eukaryota; Metazoa; Chordata; Mammalia; Primates; Hominidae. The record is from RNAcentral.
AAAGAAAAACCACACUGCAUCUACAAUGCUUGUGGAAACGCAAGCUUUGCAGCAGCUCCAGGAUGAGCGCCAGCCUGCUGGGAAGGGUCCUCCAUGCUGUGUACACUUCACAGGUACAGAAACAGGGCACAGUGGGGACACCUGUCCUCCCCCCAGUCUCACGGGGGCAGCAGCGGAGCCCACGUGAGAACCAGAGCUGUGGAGGCCCCGGCUGCUGCGAGACUGCAAUGUCAGCUUGUGGCUGGAACAUGGCUUUCUGGGCUGACUCCUGGGGGUACUCAGGGCCUCCCUGAGUGUCCAGCAGGACACAAAGAGGGAAGGCCACGCCCACAUCCUGGGACAGGACUGCGCCAAACCCCCAGGUGCACUAAAGGCCAAGGGCCACGCAGAGGAAGGAGGAGGAGGUCCGCCUCAGCCAGGCCAGCUUCCUCCCAGUCCCAGCAGGAGCUCGAUGCUACGCAGCCCUGGCGGGCAGCCCCCCUCCCAGUCCCGCAGCGGCUCGGCCCUUCACGGCUCUGCCUGUGCACCCUACGUGCAGGUAGAACCAGGGAAAAUGCCUGCUGACCUGGUGGCCUCCAGGCCACACAUGGAUCCCAGAGUGAGCCUGGGCCCGGGCUCCCGCUCACCUCGCACCCGGGCCUCGCUGGAAAACUCCUUGCAGUCGGAUUUCAGGUGGAUGAUGAUUUUUGUCCCGGUUCUAACUCCCGAAGCUUCGGCGAUUUCAAACACUCCAGAACUAAGGCAGGCAAAGAAAGGAAAAGCCAGGUGGAUGUGACACUGGGACAUACCCUGCAUGGGACUCCAGCGGUUCCCGAGGGUUUCAUAGGCAGAGCCCAAACAACACACAACACACCUCAAAUGCCCCAUUUCUGACCCCAGCGCACCACUCAGGCCAUCACAUGCCCAUCAGGAACGAUGAGCCUGUCGCAGGCGGCAGAGUUCUCCUGGUUCCCUCGGGCGGGGGGCGGGGGGGCGGGGGUCCUCCACCGACCCUGGGCUUCGAAGAAGCUUCUGGGCUUACCCCAAAAGCAGGCCUGGGGCACUGUGGGGGACUGGCCCAGCUCCAAAUCGGGUGCCAGAUGCCCAGGGGCAAAAACAAAGGCCAGGGGGACAGGCGCCCCCUAAGAAGAGCAGAAAACCAUCUCCGAAGCACAGGAGGGGGGAAUCCCCCGGCAGGGCCAUGUUGAUGCCUUGGCCUAAGUUUACUCUGAGCCCCGCUCCCAUGGAAUUAAACAGGAAUGUUAGUUUUGGGAGAGUGGGGAGUCAAGCUGAGCACAGUGCACACACUGUGGAGCAGAAAUGGCAUCACGGAGGGAGGACGCCUCGGCUGGCUGGAAGCGGCUCACCUGCUAAAAAGCCCUCGGAGCCAGGCGUGGUGGCUCACGUCUAUAAUCCCAGCACUUUGGGAGGCCAAGACGGGCAGAUCACCUGAGGUCGGGGUUCGAGACCAGUCUGACCAACAUGGAGAAACCCUGUCUCUACUAAAAAUACAAAAUUAGCUGGGCGUGGUGGCAUGCGCCUGUAGUCCCAGCUACUCAGGAGGCUGAGGCAGGCCAAUUGCUUGAACCUGGGAGGCGGAGGUGGCAGUGAGCCAAGAUUGUGCCAUUGCACUCCAGCCUAGGCAACAAGAGUAAAACUCCGUCCCAAAGG